This 460-nucleotide ribosomal RNA is filed under the name uncultured bacterium. RNAcentral describes it as "partial 16S ribosomal RNA". It matches the Rfam family "Bacterial small subunit ribosomal RNA", at positions 338 to 795 of the family's 1533-position model. The record is from RNAcentral.
CCUACGGGAGGCUGCAGUGAGGAAUAUUGGUCAAUGGACGAGAGUCUGAACCAGCCAAGUAGCGUGAAGGAUGACUGCCCUAUGGGUUGUAAACUUCUUUUAUAUGGGAAUAAAAUGUUCCACGUGUGGGAUUUUGUAUGUACCAUAUGAAUAAGGAUCGGCUAACUCCGUGCCAGCAGCCGCGGUAAUACGGAGGAUCCGAGCGUUAUCCGGAUUUAUUGGGUUUAAAGGGAGCGUAGGUGGAUUGUUAAGUCAGUUGUGAAAGUUUGCGGCUCAACCGUAAAAUUGCAGUUGAAACUGGCAGUCUUGAGUACAGUAGAGGUGGGCGGAAUGCGUGGUGUAGCGGUGAAAUGCUUAGAUAUCACGAAGAACUCCGAUUGCGAAGGCAGUUCACUGGACUGCAACUGACACUGAGGCUCGAAAGUGUGGGUAUCAAACAGGAUUAGAUACCCUAGUUGUC